RNAcentral lists this non-coding RNA (46 nucleotides) under Schistosoma margrebowiei. The record is from RNAcentral. Lineage: Eukaryota; Metazoa; Platyhelminthes; Trematoda; Strigeidida; Schistosomatidae.
GCACUGAUGAGCGGUCCUACAAUAGGACGAAACGGCCGUCCAGUGC